RNAcentral lists this non-coding RNA (29 nucleotides) under Rattus norvegicus (Norway rat). The record is from RNAcentral. Lineage: Eukaryota; Metazoa; Chordata; Mammalia; Rodentia; Muridae.
UGCUUAAGCAAACUACAGAAGCAACCCUC